AUAAGGGCGAUCAAGCUUCCAUGCGUUCAUGAUAUUUUGAGAUGCAAUCAACUCAAGCUUUAAACCAGGUCUUCGUGGCUUCAUCAAAACAUGAAUCUAAGAAGGCUCCGUACAAUGAUUUUGAGGGUCCCAGUUUCAAUCCCUAAUACCGUUUAAGAAUCAGUUGACUGGAAGCGGCAGUACCUAAAGUCUGGGUAGAUCGAGUUUCAAGGUUUUGCUUUCAUACUACUCUGACUACUUUAUGAAAUCUGAUAGAAGUUCUUCAAAAGGAAACUAACGUUAAUUCUUUGAACAAAUUGUUUUUUGAGGUUUUGUUUUAAGCCUUCUUCUCUGACCAUUUUAUGAAAAUCCGAUGUUAUCACUUACAAGGUUUUGAGAAAUUAACAGAGUCUUGGGAAGGAAUUGAAUUAAAA
Molecule: long non-coding RNA, 413 nt
Organism: Brassica oleracea var. oleracea
Lineage: Eukaryota; Viridiplantae; Streptophyta; Magnoliopsida; Brassicales; Brassicaceae
Exons: 2
Source: RefSeq, a predicted model, not a curated record